GGGCGCAGUUAAAGAUGUUAAUGUUAAGUCAUCCCUUCUGUGAUUUCGGGACAUUAUCUUUGCACGCCAUGUGAAGAUGUGCUUGCUUCCUUGUCACCUUCCGCCAUGAUUGUAAGUUUCCUGAGGCCUCCCAGGAAGCAGAAGCCUGUACAGCCCACAGAACCAUGACCUGAUGAAAUCUCUUUUCUUUAUAAAUUACCCAGUCUCAGAUCUUGCUAUGCUUGUCAUUGUGUAAGCAGCAAACUUGCAGUGACCAGUUGGAUUCCACCCCCCUGAUGUUGGUGGUGUGCUCUUGGGGAGAUGUCUUCCAGACAGGCAAAGAAGAGUGACAUCAUCAGAGCAUGGACGACCUCAAAGAUAUUCCAGCUAUGCUCCAGAGAGAGCCAUCCUGAUGGAACCUACUGACCAGGGGGACACAAAAGAAAAGAGGGAGGAGAUGAAAGAAGGUGAGGGUCUCUAUUGCCAGCAGAACUGGACUGUGUGUUUAACUGGAAAGCUGAUGGAGAAUGUAGUUAGGCACAGCUCUCUGGACCCUUCUAGUGAAAUAAAGAACUAGUUAAAUAAGGCAAGACAGAAGAAUGAGGCUGCCAUCUAGAUGUAGUAACAGGUAAUGUUCCAGGGCACAAGGGAGCCAAAGGAAGAGAGUUUCUUCACUUUUUAUUCUCUGCAGUCUUCAUACAUAAUAAUGAUCUCAUUCCUCUAUAUUAGUCAAGAUCUUCCCAUUAUAAGUGACGAAUUAUAACCAGAUUAAACCAAAAAGUAAAAUAAUUUAUUGACUGAUUGAUAUGGUUUGGAUUUGUGUCCCCGCCCAAAUCUCAUGUAGAAUUGUAAUCCCCAGUGCCAGUUGGAGGUGGGUCCUGGUGGGAGGUGAUGGGAUCAUGUGGGUGGUUUCUCAUGGUGUAACGCAAUCCACCUUGGUGCUGUCGUCACGAUGGUGAGUCCUCAUGAGAUCUGGUUGUUUCAAGGUGUGUGGCACCUCACCUCUCUCUCUCUCUUCUCCUGCUCCCACCACGUGAGGCACCUCUCUCCCCCUUUGCCUUUUGCCAUGAUUGGAAACUUCCUGAGGCCUCCCCAGAAGCAGAAGCCCCUAUGCUUCCUGCACAGCCUGCAGAACCGACAUUUCAAUUAUCCUCUGAAAUGGAAUAAUCCUCAUUGAAAGCAUGAUACUAGAAGCUCAUGAGGAUUAUUUUCAAAGAAAGCUGUGCAGAAGAGUUGGCUCAGCAGGCUUGGCAUGCUCAAACCAGCUCCUGGGAGAUAACCUACGAGCCCUUGGAAUAGUCUGUGCAAUAGGGGUCCUGGAGCACUCCAUAUCAGUUUGAUCUCUGGCUGGGGAGGAGCUGGAGAUUAAGUAUUUAAGAUCAGCCAUGUAGGUAUUCUGUGCCUACCUGACUGACCCCCAUUAAAGAGUCUGAACACCAAGUCUUGGGUGAGCUUCCCUGGUAAGCAAUACUUCAUGUGUGUUGUCAUGGUAGCAGGGAGAAUUAAGUAUCGCUUCUGUGAGUCCACUGGGAGAAGACAGCUGGAAACUUGUGCCUGCUCUCUCGGGGACUCCACCUCAUGCAUCUUUGGUCUUUGCUGAUUUUAAUUUGUAUCCUUUCAUUAUAAUAAACUGUUACCAUGAAUAUAACAGCUUUUCUGAGUUUUAUGAGUCCUCCUGAAUCCUCAAGCCUGAAGAUAGUCUUGGGGAACCUCAACAGAGAAGAUCUCACAGGUCAUGAAGAAGUUAACUGACAAGACACAGGGCUGAUUUGUGAAAACAAUUUUGAAUGGAGCUAAAUAUACAUUGUAAGGAAUAUUAUUAAUUCUUUAGUCUAAAUUUCCUACUGAAUUUAUUUGAAAGGCAAAAACAAUAUGAAAAGUUGACUGUCAAUUUUUAUGCAUGUAAGACCACCCUUUGCUACUCGUGUGUGUAUCUAUACCUGCAUCUAUGUUUAUACGUUUGUCUAUGGCUAUAGCUGCAUCUGCAUCUUUUUCUACAUCUCUUAAUAGCUACCAAACACUGAUAGGUGCUAUUCAUAGGUUUGUCAAUGUGACAUAUAAAAAAAGUUCAGUGUUUUUUUUAAAUAACUAGAUUUCCAUUUAUUGCUUGAAUAUAAUCUACAGAUUACCUACAAAUAUAAUCUCUGUACAGUUCUCCCAGAACAUUAUGUAAGCCUUUUUUCUUUUUUAAAUGAUUCAACUUUGAAUACUAACUAAAUUCUAGGAGACUUUCUUCACUCUCUCUGUAGUCUGUCCCCAGUUUUUGUAAAUAAUGAGGCUAUUUUUUUAAAAAAAGUAUGCAUC
This is a long non-coding RNA of Homo sapiens (human), 2283 nucleotides long. Ensembl annotates it as FBXO38 divergent transcript. Its record names the gene FBXO38-DT. The record is from Ensembl. Lineage: Eukaryota; Metazoa; Chordata; Mammalia; Primates; Hominidae.